UACGGAGGAUGCAAGCGUUAUCCGGAUUCAUUGGGUUUAAAGGGUGCGUAGGCGGAUUGAUAAGUCAGUGGUGAAGGCCUGCAGCCUAACUGUAGAAUUGCCGUUGAUACUGUCAAUCUUGAGUAUAUUUGAUGUGGGCGGAAUGUGUCAUGUAGCGGUGAAAUGCUUAGAUAUGACACAGAACACCGAUUGCGAAGGCAGCUCACAAAACUAUAACUGACGCUGAGGCACGAAAGCGUGGGGAUCAAACAGG
RNAcentral lists this ribosomal RNA (253 nucleotides) under uncultured bacterium. RNAcentral's name for it is "partial 16S ribosomal RNA". It matches the Rfam family "Bacterial small subunit ribosomal RNA", at positions 524 to 776 of the family's 1533-position model. The record is from RNAcentral.